Long non-coding RNA from Mugil cephalus (flathead mullet), 2130 nucleotides. RefSeq lists it as uncharacterized. The transcript has 3 exons. The record is from RefSeq and is a predicted model, not a curated record. NCBI's taxonomy places the organism in Eukaryota, Metazoa, Chordata, Actinopteri, Mugiliformes, Mugilidae.
UAGUGAACGACCUGCAGUUAUUUUCUGCAGGUCCUUCUCUCCUCUCCCUGACCGUGUCCUCGUCCUGUGGACGCAGCUUGUUUAUUUUUCCGUGUCACCUUUCUCUGUCUGUCUGUCUCUUUGUCUGCCACCUCCUCGGGCGGCAGCGGGCACAUGAAGUCAUCAGCCUGCACUGACGUCAGCUACUCCAACUCUGCAACAAAGCCAACAGUCUGCAAGAUGUUUACAAGCCUGCCUUUCAUUCCUCUGAACCGUUGGUUAUACAAGAUUUCAGAUCUCUCUCCCCCUCUCUCUCUCUCUCUGUGUGUGUCAGUGUAUGUGCAUGUGUGUGUGUGUGCAUGAGCUUCUCUAAAUGGGUCAUGUGUGUUUGCACAACCAGACGGAGGGCAGGAAAGUGGGUUGAGCAUGGGGGCAAGGGUUGGCAUCGGUAGAGCUGAUUGUUUCAAGGCAAGAAGCAAUAUCUUGUUCCAGCCCAGCAGUCAUGAGGCUCUGUUGAAUUUGUCAAGGUAAUUAACAAUCUCCACUGACAGAUUUGAGCCUCUCGCUCAAGUCCCCCCCCAACCCCCCCUUUUUUUUUCUUUUUCGUUCGCCUACCACUGUAUGUUCUGUGUCACGUACUCAGAUCCUCUUAGGCUGACUGCUUGACACUGUGUAAAUCCUGUGCUUGGCCGAGUCCCCUCCAGUUCACAAAACCCACACUUGCAAGCCGCUCAGUUGUUUCCCAUUUCUGUUGCUCAAAGUUGCUGCGUGACCUUGGGUCAAAUGACAGGAACAAGCACCCUGUUCAAAGGAAGUGAACGCAUAUCCUGUUGACGUCACGAUCUUAUGUCCACUUUGCUGUUUCUCUCGGUUGGAAAACAUUACAAAUACUACUCCGCUGGACAAACACCUGGAAAAAUUGCAAGGCCCUGACAAAGGAGAUGAGGAAGUUGGCAGGUUAGUCAGGAAGUUUACUCGCAAUUUCCACCGAAGUUUCUCUCUCUGCCCUGAACGAAAAUCCAUUGGCCUGUAAAAUAGGCUGGCUACAGCUCUCAGGGGGCAUCGAGUGGGAAAACCCUUUCACUCAGUGGCAGCGUGGAGGCAUUGACGUACGAGAUGGAAGAAGAAAAAAAAACACAUGAGAGGACGGAGGCUCCCAAAAACAGAAAAGCUCCUGAGUCAGAUACGCAUCUCUGCAGUCAUUUGGCGUAAACACACACUCAAACAUUAAUUCACGCACACCCCACGCAGUCGUUUGUGUUUAAUUUUUUUUUUUCUCACACGGAUAUUUAACAUUUGUUGCAUGAAAUCAAACGCACAGCAGCGCAAUCUGCCACUUAGCUGCUACUGUACAAACCGACAGAAGCCUGUGUUUAAUAGCAGCUCUGUGCGAGAGCCGGGCACAUGCUGCACAGUGGUCUCACUCACACACGACGCCGGGCUUAUAGACUCCGGUGUUUGUGAAAACGGAGACUGAUGCAGUUACGUAAGCCUGCGGUAUGCGAGGUCACCGAUGGCAGGUGACACAGAGUGAGGUUAAGGAGAAGUUUUCAGGAGCCACCGGAGCCAUGGCCGACUGUGCUGCUACUUCAAAUGUCAGCAUGUUGCAGGUGCUAACUUUUUGACACAUUAGCUGAAGGAGCAGAGGAUUGGAUCUCGGAUCUUGGUUAAAGGCGGAGUUCAGAAAAUCCUGCCUGUCCCCCGAGAGACACCUACACACAGCCCGGAGAGCAGCGUCUGUCUGGACAAGCUGACACGGCAGCACAGUCUGACUCACAGCAGCUCUACGCUCCGUCUAAUGCACCACCUCUGCCUUUCACUGCACAUCAGCGUCAAACUCUUCUCAGAGCCACGGCCGGGCCUGUGUGCUUUCGUAUGUGUGCGUCUGCGUGCCGGUGCAGUUGUGCUCCUCUGACCCAGUGAUGUUUUUUUUUUUCCUGUUUUUUUUUUUUUUUUUUCCAUGGAUAGUGUCCGCAUUCCUAACUCUGUUACUCAAGAAGCGAGCAAAAAGUGAUGUAAAUGUGCCCAACCAUUAUUUUUACAGUUCCAGAUUCCUGCGUGGCUGGCUGUGGAUGGAUGUGUGUUAAACCUCAAGAAGCAAAGCAGUGCAGUCCCAAAAAAAAAAAAAAAAAAAAAAAAAAUUUUUGGAAA